This 28-nucleotide small RNA is filed under the name Bombyx mori (domestic silkworm). RNAcentral describes it as "ovarian small RNA-6420". The record is from RNAcentral. Lineage: Eukaryota; Metazoa; Arthropoda; Insecta; Lepidoptera; Bombycidae.
UAGGUAUAUGAUGUGAUGCGCCCGUACU